CCGCUGAACUUAAGCAUAUCACUAAGCGGAGGAAAAGAAACUA
This 43-nucleotide ribosomal RNA is filed under the name Saccocoelium sp. IBC-2009. RNAcentral's name for it is "partial 28S ribosomal RNA". Lineage: Eukaryota; Metazoa; Platyhelminthes; Trematoda; Plagiorchiida; Haploporidae. The record is from RNAcentral.